RNAcentral lists this microRNA (22 nucleotides) under Drosophila mojavensis. RNAcentral describes it as "Dmo-Mir-3-P1_5p* (star (passenger))". Lineage: Eukaryota; Metazoa; Arthropoda; Insecta; Diptera; Drosophilidae. The record is from RNAcentral.
AGGUAAACUUUGUUCAGUUUUG